UACGUAGGUGGCAAGCGUUGUCCGGAUUUACUGGGCGUAAAGAGCGCGCAGGCGGUCGUGCAAGUCGAGUGUGAAAGCCCCCGGCUCAACUGGGGAGGGUCACUCGAUACUGCUCGACUCGAAGGCGGGAGAGGGAAGUGGAAUUCCCGGUGUAGUGGUGAAAUGCGUAGAUAUCGGGAGGAACACCAGUGGCGAAGGCGACUUCCUGGCCCGUUCUUGACGCUGAGGCGCGAAAGCUAGGGGAGCAAACGGG
RNAcentral lists this ribosomal RNA (253 nucleotides) under uncultured bacterium. RNAcentral's name for it is "partial 16S ribosomal RNA". It matches the Rfam family "Bacterial small subunit ribosomal RNA", at positions 524 to 776 of the family's 1533-position model. The record is from RNAcentral.